This 332-nucleotide ribosomal RNA is filed under the name uncultured bacterium. RNAcentral's name for it is "bacterial SSU rRNA". It matches the Rfam family "Bacterial small subunit ribosomal RNA", at positions 568 to 898 of the family's 1533-position model. The record is from RNAcentral.
CGCGUAGGCGGUUCCGUAAGUCCCGUGUGAAAUCCCCCGGCUCAACUGGGGAAUGGCACGGGAGACUGUGGGGCUUGAGUUCGGGAGAGGGAAGCGGAAUUCCGGGUGUAGCGGUGAAAUGCGUAGAUAUCCGGAGGAACACCGGUGGCGAAGGCGGCUUCCUGGACCGACACUGACGCUAAGGCGCGAAAGCUAGGGGAGCAAACGGGAUUAGAUACCCCGGUAGUCCUAGCUGUAAACGAUGAGCGCUGGGUGUGGGAGGUACUAAACCCUUCCGUGCCGAAGCUAACGCAUUAAGCGCUCCGCCUGGGGAGUACGGUCGCAAGGCUGAA